GGUUAGUCGGAGUGCAGUGGUGUUUACAACUAACUGAUCACAACCAAUUACAGAUCUUUUUGUUUCCUCUCUACUCCCACUGUCUGACUUGGCUAGCCCUUA
Macaca fascicularis (crab-eating macaque) is the source of this 102-nucleotide Y RNA. It matches the Rfam family "Y RNA". Rfam says of the family: Y RNAs are components of the Ro ribonucleoprotein particle (Ro RNP), in association with Ro60 and La proteins. The Y RNAs and Ro60 and La proteins are well conserved, but the function of the Ro RNP is not known. The record is from Ensembl. Lineage: Eukaryota; Metazoa; Chordata; Mammalia; Primates; Cercopithecidae.